Molecule: ribosomal RNA, 347 nt
Filed under: Limosilactobacillus fermentum
Lineage: Bacteria; Bacillati; Bacillota; Bacilli; Lactobacillales; Lactobacillaceae
Description: bacterial SSU rRNA
Rfam family: Bacterial small subunit ribosomal RNA
Source: RNAcentral
GCGUAUUCUGCUCUUAUGACUGGGCUACACACGUGCUACAAUGGACGGUACAACGAGUCGCGAACUCGCGAGGGCAAGCAAAUCUCUUAAAACCGUUCUCAGUUCGGACUGCAGGCUGCAACUCGCCUGCACGAAGUCGGAAUCGCUAGUAAUCGCGGAUCAGCAUGCCGCGGUGAAUACGUUCCCGGGCCUUGUACACACCGCCCGUCACACCAUGAGAGUUUGUAACACCCAAAGUCGGUGGGGUAACCUUUUAGGAGCCAGCCGCCUAAGGUGGGACAGAUGAUUAGGGUGAAGUCGUAACAAGGUAGCCGUAGGAGAACCUGCGGUUGGAUCACCUCCACCAG